RNAcentral lists this transfer RNA (68 nucleotides) under Diapteron cyanostictum (Gabon jewelfish). RNAcentral's name for it is "Aphyosemion cyanostictum (Gabon jewelfish) tRNA-Asp". It matches the Rfam family "tRNA". Rfam says of the family: Transfer RNA (tRNA) molecules are approximately 80 nucleotides in length. Their secondary structure includes four short double-helical elements and three loops (D, anti-codon, and T loops). Lineage: Eukaryota; Metazoa; Chordata; Actinopteri; Cyprinodontiformes; Nothobranchiidae. The record is from RNAcentral.
AAGACUCUAGUAAAAUUUUACCUUGUCUUGUCAAGACAAAAUUGUGGGUUAGAACCCCGCGAGUCUUA